RNAcentral lists this ribosomal RNA (497 nucleotides) under uncultured bacterium. RNAcentral's name for it is "partial 16S ribosomal RNA". It matches the Rfam family "Bacterial small subunit ribosomal RNA", at positions 28 to 507 of the family's 1533-position model. The record is from RNAcentral.
GAUGAACGCUGGCGGCGUGCCUAAUACAUGCAAGUCGAGCGAACAGACGAGGAGCUUGCUCCUCUGACGUUAGCGGCGGACGGGUGAGUAACACGUGGAUAACCUACCUAUAAGACUGGGAUAACUUCGGGAAACCGGAGCUAAUACCGGAUAAUAUAUUGAACCGCAUGGUUCAAUAGUGAAAGACGGUUUUGCUGUCACUUAUAGAUGGAUCCGCGCCGCAUUAGCUAGUUGGUAAGGUAACGGCUUACCAAGGCAACGAUGCGUAGCCGACCUGAGAGGGUGAUCGGCCACACUGGAACUGAGACACGGUCCAGACUCCUUCGGGAGGCAGCAGUAGGGAAUCUGCCGCAAUGGGCGAAAGCCUGACGGAGCAACGCCGCGUGAGUGAUGAAGGUCUUCGGAUCGUAAAACUCUGUUAUUAGGGAAGAACAAAUGUGUAAGUAACUAUGCACGUCUUGACGGUACCUAAUCAGAAAGCCACGGCUAACUACGUG